Molecule: non-coding RNA, 600 nt
Organism: Dermatophagoides farinae (American house dust mite)
Lineage: Eukaryota; Metazoa; Arthropoda; Arachnida; Sarcoptiformes; Pyroglyphidae
Source: RefSeq, a predicted model, not a curated record
UGAUGAUUGAAUCAUUCGAAGAUCAAAAAUUCCAAUCAAUUCGAUGGUGUGUGAUUUUUUUUCUAUCUAUCUUAAGGUGACACUGUGUACAAACAAUGUCACCUGUCUAUAAUGAACAUCAUGACAAACCAUAAUCUGCAAUAUUUUUUUUUUAUUUUUUGAUUCUGUUCAAUCAAAUUCAAACAUUUGAAUUUUCCGUCUUGGCGCCAUCAUUGUUUAUCAUCAUCAUCGAAAAAAAAUCACAUGGAAAAUAUUCUUUCUUAAAUAUUAUAUCACAUAAAAUUAGAACUCAUGACCUAAAAAUAUAAAUGACAAAAUACAAAACAAAUGAACAUUCGUCAUCAUCAUCGUCAUCGUCAUCAAUUCAUUCAUUCAUUCAUUUUGGUAACCGGGAAAAAAAUGCGUAAAAAACAAGUAUAACGACAACGGUAAAUAAUAAUGAUGAUGAUGAUGACUUUAAUGUACAUUUGUUUUUCUCCAUUUCGCACACACACACACAAAUAAUAUAAAAAAAUAUCGUGGUAACUCAGGAAAUUGCACAAUAUUCCAACUUGUAGUAGAUAUUUUUAUAAUCAAUGUGUAUUUUUUUUGUUCUCUACG